RNAcentral lists this ribosomal RNA (471 nucleotides) under uncultured bacterium. RNAcentral describes it as "bacterial SSU rRNA". It matches the Rfam family "Bacterial small subunit ribosomal RNA", at positions 34 to 518 of the family's 1533-position model. The record is from RNAcentral.
CGCUGGCGGCGUGCCUAACACAUGCACGUCGAGCGAGGGAGGGGCUUCGGCCGGAACCGAGCGGCGGACGGGUGAGUAACGCGUGAAUGAUCUGUCCCUCACAGGGGAAUAACACUUGGAAACAGGUGCUAAUACCGCAUAAGACCACGGUGCUGCAUGGCACUGAGGUAAAAAGGAGCGAUCCGGUGAGGGGUGAGUUCGCGUCCGAUUAGCCAGUUGGCGGGGUAAGAGCCCACCAAAGCGACGAUCGGUAGCCGACCUGAGAGGGUGAUCGGCCACACUGGAACUGAGACACGGUCCAGACUCCUACGGGAGGCAGCAGUGGGGAAUAUUGGGCAAUGGGCGAAAGCCUGACCCAGCAACGCCGCGUGAGGGAAGAAGGUUUUCGGAUUGUAAACCUCUAUCGCAGGGGACGAAGGAAGUGACGGUACCCUGCAAGGAAGCCCCGGCUAACUACGUGCCAGCCGCUGC